UGCUUCCUUUCAGAGAGU
This 18-nucleotide microRNA is filed under the name Pongo pygmaeus (Bornean orangutan). RNAcentral describes it as "ppy-miR-516a-3p". Its record names the gene ppy-miR-516a-3p. Lineage: Eukaryota; Metazoa; Chordata; Mammalia; Primates; Hominidae. The record is from miRBase by way of RNAcentral.